This 253-nucleotide ribosomal RNA is filed under the name uncultured bacterium. RNAcentral describes it as "partial 16S ribosomal RNA". It matches the Rfam family "Bacterial small subunit ribosomal RNA", at positions 524 to 776 of the family's 1533-position model. The record is from RNAcentral.
UACGUAGGGUGCGAGCGUUAAUCGGAAUUACUGGGCGUAAAGUGUGCGCAGGCGGCCGAGCAAGUCGAGUGUGAAAGCCCCGGGCUUAACUUGGGAAUUGCGCUCGAAACUACUUGGCUGGAGUGUGGCAGAGGAAGGUGGAAUUCCAGGUGUAGCGGUGAAAUGCGCGGAUAUCAGGAAGAACACCGAUGGCGAAGGCAGCUCUCUGGGACGGUACUGACGCUGAGACGCGAAAGCGUGGGGAGCGAACAGG